RNAcentral lists this unclassified non-coding RNA (350 nucleotides) under soil metagenome. RNAcentral's name for it is "partial contains 5.8S ribosomal RNA, internal transcribed spacer 2, and large subunit ribosomal RNA". The stretch from base 1 to 120 matches the Rfam family "5.8S ribosomal RNA", at positions 35 to 154 of the family's 154-position model. The record is from RNAcentral.
GAUGAAGAACGCAGCGAAAUGCGAUAAGUAAUGUGAAUUGCAGAAUUCAGUGAAUCAUCGAGUCUUUGAACGCACAUUGCGCCCCUUGGUAUUCCGGGGGGCAUGCCUGUCCGAGCGUCAUUGCUGCCCUCAAGCACGGCUUGUGUGUUGGGCCCCCGUCCCCGGUUCUCCCCGGGGACGGGCCCGAAAGGCAGCGGCGGCACCGCGUCCGAUCCUCGAGCGUAUGGGGCUUUGUCACCCGCUCUGUAGGCCCGGCCGGCGCCAGCCGACACCCCAACUUUAUUUUCUAAGGUUGACCUCGGAUCAGGUAGGGAUACCCGCUGAACUUAAGCAUAUCAAUAAGCGGAGGA